This is a long non-coding RNA of Olea europaea var. sylvestris, 856 nucleotides long. RefSeq lists it as uncharacterized. The transcript has 2 exons. The record is from RefSeq and is a predicted model, not a curated record. NCBI's taxonomy places the organism in Eukaryota, Viridiplantae, Streptophyta, Magnoliopsida, Lamiales, Oleaceae.
GCUUACCUUCCGAAGCCUAAAAUUGUUUAUGCUAUUGGUUUGUUCUACUGCUGAGUUCCCUUGCUAUGAAUCUCAUGUGCAACUUUCAUUUGUGACAUAUUCUACAGCUCACAGUGUUCAUGUUUAAGCGAUGUUUUUAAAGUUUGCCAACAAAUCAAGCAAAUAACCUAUUUUCAUAAAGGUUAUCAUUAACUGACUAUGCAGUAUCAGGUUUUCUCUUUCUUUCAGCAUCACAUAAACUGUAACAGGACUCUCCCUGUAUUGUUUAAACAAUUUGUAAAUCAGAAGGGAGAAAAUAUCGUAAGGUAAACCAAAAGGAACCCAUUUCAUUAAAAACAUCAAAACAUAUGGCUUCCUUUGAUGAUUGUACAAAAAUUGACAAUCACACAACACCAGAGCCGAUUUUGGACAGAGAGGCUCACCACCCAUGCCUCAGGCCCAACAAUUAAAGGACCUCAAUAUUUUAUUUUUAUUUUUUUGAUACAUCGUUCCUAUUCAUCUAACAGUCUUCCUCUGUGCCGGUGCAUGCGAGAGGUAAAGAGCCAAGAAGGCAAAAGUCUAGUUCUCUCUCGACAGUCUAUCACCAUCCAUGCCACUGCCUGCAUGCCUACCGAUGAAGUGGUGAUCUGAUCCGCAUAAGGCAGUUUCGGGAUAGAGUUUUCAGAAAUUUCGCAAGUUUCCUAUUUUGAUUAGAAGUCUAAUCUUUUCCAUAUUUAAGUAAUUUUGGACGUUCUUUCCCAAUUUUAAUUAGAUUCUAGGGUUUUAGUAUAAAUAGGGAUUACAUUUGUCAUUGUAUUCAUAACUUUUGACAUGAUGAAUUAAAAUAGAGAAUUUUCUCUCGGGACGCUUGCUUCAA